AGUCCCAAGAACCAGAGGUCAGAUGAUGACCCAGAAACAGGAUCCAGAGCAAGAAAGUUCCUGUUGCAUGUAAGUCUUGUCCUUGUGGUUACAUAUUUAUUAAUAGGAAACGUCUAAAAGUAAAACACUCAGAGAAAUCAUCCCUCUUUACAGACGUGAACAGUACCAUAUCUUUGAAAGAUUUACGAAUACUUUUUUUAUAUGAAUUUAAACUGGGCCAUAGUGCAGCCGAGGCAAGCAGAAACAUCAAUUCCGUCUUUGGAGGAGGCUCUGUUAGUGAAAGGACCAUCCGGUGGUGGUUUGAAAAAUUUCGGUCUGGGCAUAUGAGUCUGAAAAAUGAACCUCGCGGGAGGCCCAAAUCUGUUUUAAAUGAAGAUCAGUUAAGAGCUAUGGUGGAAGCUAACCCCAAAACAGCAAUUCGAGGCCUUGCAGCAGACUUAGGAGUUUCUGCUACGACAAUUUCUCGACACCUGGCUGCAAUAGGGAAGGUGAAAAAAUUGGACAGGUGGGUAGGUACUACACCAGUUGAUGGAGGAUCAUAAACUGAGAUGUUUCAUCUCUUAAGAUUUGAAACAACAAAGAUCUGUUUUGGAGCGGAUCAUAAUCUAUGGCCAAAAAUGGAUACUAUAUCACAGUUGAAACUGAUCUGGACAACAUUUGGAAGCUGGUGAAGUUCCCAAACAUGUCAAAACCAUCAUUGCAAUCAAAAAAGAUUCUGAUGACUGUGUGGUAGUCUGAAAAAAGGAUAUUUCAGUACUGCUUUUUAACACUGGUAAAACAAUAAUAGCAGUAUUUUAUUUUCAGUAUGUUAAAAAUAUAUAUCAAAAUUUGAUCUAAAAGCACUCUGCAUUGGUUAGCAGAUAUGGAUCUGUACUUUUUCAUGACGUUUGACCACAGAAAUCACAAACCGCCAUAGCAAAGUUAACUGCAUUGGAUUAAGAACUUUUGCUACAUCCGUCAUUCUCACUCGGCCUUUUUUCAACAGAUGACCACUGUUUCAUCAUUUGGAGCUCUUUCUAAGAAAUAGAACAUUCCCCAAUUGAAAAGCAGUAAUUGGAGGAUUUGAAUACAUUUUAACAGUUUAAAAAUGCUGAAUUUUGUAAAUAAUGGUAUAUAUAUCAUUUAAUAUCCCAUUGUGGGAAAGUGGUUACUGCUAACAGUGCAUAUUUUGACUGAAUUAAAAAAUUUUUUUUCUUGAAAGUAUUGCGUCUUUAUUUUGACCUACAAAAAAGGCAAUUUUAUAUGAUUCAACUUAGUACGUUCCCAGGCCCUGACAGAGCAUGAAAACUGAGAGGUAUUCAAAGUGCUGGAAAACUACAGGUGCUUCUGAAUUUUGGGACUUCUUCCUUGGAGGAAGCGGUUGCAACCCAGGGUGUGUAUUGUGUAUGCAGAAGAUGCUCAGGAGUCAGCCAUGCAAAGAUCUGGGCAGAGAGGGCUCCAGGGAGAUGAGCAGCUUAUGCAAAUGCCCUCAGACUCUCAGAAAAUAUUGUUUUGAAUGAAGAGGGCAUGUUUCUUGCUAACACCUGAAUCAUGCACAGAGUAGAUAUGGCUCAGUGAAAGCUUCUGGACGAUAUUUAUUUUGUCACAAAGAGCCAACACCACCUUUCAUUCCAAUUUUUUAAAAAAUGUAGGUGGCCUAUCAGAGACUAGAAUUCAUGGCCUCUUUAUGAUAUUGCUGGAUUGGCAGUUAUUCUUUGUGUCAUCCAGGGAUUAAAUUGGGGUAAGAUACUGGGAUGGUCCUCCUCCUGCCUCUCUCCCUCCUGACAACCUGGUAAGUCUCUUCCAUGAAGGAGAGGAGAGUCAAGGAAGCCUAUUUAAAAAAUAAAGUGUCCCUUUGGGUGGAAGUAGCCCUGUGCCGUGAUACAAGGCUUGGUGAGCAGUGUGUAGGCUGGUUUUAGCCCUAACAUACCUACCCUCUUAGCUGGAUGCCCUUACCUGGAGUCACCUGCCCAUUUACUACUCCAUACUUGUCAGGGAAUUUACCCAGGGCUUUGGGAGACUCUUCUUACUCCCAAGAGAGUAAAGCUUCUGGUGUGGCUCACACUGAUAGGGUUGAAGGGAAACCCUACAUGUGGGAAGGACUUUACGUCAAAGGUUAAAGGAGGAGGCUGAACGGUCACAGGGCAAGAGCAGAGGCUUGGCCAAUGUGAAGGAGGUAGUUUUAUAUAGUUAUGGAGCGGAAAGUAGUCAUUUAAUAGCUACCCAUCCGUCCCUCAAUUUUCAGGCCCCUCAUCAGACUUCAGAGGCCCCUCAUCAGACUUCAGAGUGGGAUGCCAGACUUAGGUCUGAAACAGUAAGUGGAUAUCCUUGCUCCAGCCUCAAGGCAUAGUUUGAGGAUGGAUAGAAACACCCAAACAGAAGUCAUAAAACACGAUGAGUCAGGAAGAGGAGCAGAUACAGGGUACUGAGCUAGCCUAGCGAUCGUCCUUUGAUGCACUGAACACUAAUGACCGAAGACCAGACCAGUUGUAGAAUGACAUCAAGGACAUCAUACAUAAAGAAAGCAAGGGGUCAUUAAAAAGACAGGAAAUAAAAGACCAAAAUG
Trichechus manatus latirostris (Florida manatee) is the source of this 2545-nucleotide long non-coding RNA. RefSeq lists it as uncharacterized. The record is from RefSeq and is a predicted model, not a curated record. NCBI's taxonomy places the organism in Eukaryota, Metazoa, Chordata, Mammalia, Sirenia, Trichechidae. The transcript has 3 exons.